GUUAUUAAACAUUGUUUUACCCAGGAAACUGUAGUCACAGUUGUCAAGUCGUUAACUGAGACUCUAUUCAUUCACAACCUACAGAGAGAUUUUGAAUCGUUGCGGCAAACCGUGUCUGGUGAAGUGGGCGUCACCAAGAGCGCUCAAGAGAAAGUCUGUGUGUGGACCUGUGACUCUACAUGAAUGACUCAAGUGAAGAAACACGCGUGAAACCACUAUUUCAAAGGAAAAAGAAGAGGAAGAAGGGACAUCUUGAGCAUUCGCAGUGGAACUUGAGUGCGCAUCUGCGCAAAGUCUCUCCAAAGUCACUUGGAAACUUUUGCGCACCAGUGCAGCUCCAUUCUCAAGCAGUUUUGGGUCACAGCGAGGAGAGACUGUCGUCCAGCAGAAUGGCGUCAGACGUGGGCCGCAGCACUUGAGGUCAGCCGCUCACUCAGCGCACUGUGUUUAUUCUGCCUUCAGGUCCUCCUGGGAAGUUCCUACUUAAGAGUUCGGAAGUCGUAAUUAUGAUGUGAAGUGAUUUUGCUUGAAAUAAUACGGAUGAGUUGAGUAUAUUUAUGUGUCUUUAACCCAGCUAACAGGGAAGGUUCUCAGAACUUGUUUGGAAUGUUAAUACAGUGUUUAUUCAAAGUUCAUGAGAUGAACACUCAUCUAAUGUGUUUUUUUUUUAUGUUAUUGUUUUGGAAUGUUCAGAGAACAUUCAAAAGUAACAUUCCCAUAAUGUUUGCAAAAUUAUUAAAUGGAAUGUUUGCGUAACCAAAAACAAAACGUUUGUAAGAAAUUUGAUAUUUAGAAUGUUCACGCAAAAGUCAGAAGUAAUAUUUUCAUAACUUAAUGCAUGGUAACUUGAAACGUUCUUAGACCAUUUUUGUUAGCUGGGAACCUUAUAAUGCUUUUUUAGCCUCAAUGUAAGAAAAUGAAGAAGGAAUGAUGCACAUUAUGUGCAAUUUAAGAUUAACUGUAAGAAAACAUUAUUAUUUAAUCAUUCGUGUGCAACCACACAUGACUGAAAAUGUAUUUUUCACAAAAUGUUUACAAACUAGUUUUACAUUAUAUCAACAUUCACACCCUCGGUUCCACAAGUAUUUUUCUCAUUCAUUAUCUAUUUAUAAUUCUAUUAUCCAUGAUCUAUUCUAAUCUUGAAAACAUUUGAGUUUUAAACUAUAAAGGACAACCAGAUAUAAAUAAAUAUUUCAGAUUUAUUUUUAGUGCAUUUGUUUUGAUAGCUUCAGUCUCUUUCCUAAUCUAUCUUUGUAAAAAAAAAAAAAAAAAUUGAGAGUGGGCUUUUAUUACAUGAAAUUUGCCUUGACGUCAUUAACUUAGACAGAAGGACGUCUCAUGUAGAUGAUUAUAUGUUAUACAGCACUCAUGUAGAUCUGUCUUGAAAGGUUUAUACAGUAAUGCUAUAACUCUAUUGAGAAGAUGAAUGGGAUUGUACUUCUGGAACCAAACUGCUUCUGCUGUCAUUUUAUCAUUGACUCUAACCCAACGCAAAGAGUCUCUUUAAUAAUCAGGCCAUCAUGGUGUAUAUGACUCUGACAUGACUUGAAGGCAGCAUGCUUUGUUUAUUUUCAAGCUAAGCUACUGUGGACUUACAGUACUGUGGACUGUGGACUGUAAAGACAAAAAACUGAGCGAACUAUCUGAAGGAUUGUUAAGGAGCCGAUGCAGAGCCAUGUAACACGAACACUUAUCACUCGCAAUAAAUGUUUCCCUGAAAAACCC
This is a long non-coding RNA of Carassius gibelio (silver crucian carp), 1725 nucleotides long. RefSeq lists it as uncharacterized. The transcript is spliced from 2 exons. Lineage: Eukaryota; Metazoa; Chordata; Actinopteri; Cypriniformes; Cyprinidae. The record is from RefSeq and is a predicted model, not a curated record.